This 643-nucleotide unclassified non-coding RNA is filed under the name Hevea brasiliensis (rubber tree). Lineage: Eukaryota; Viridiplantae; Streptophyta; Magnoliopsida; Malpighiales; Euphorbiaceae. The record is from RNAcentral.
UGUACCUGUACAGAUUCACAAUUGGAACCGCCAAGAAUAGGAGUGGGGAACUGUCGAACCCUUACAUUCUCCCCCACCUAAUCCCGUGCGUUCACAUCGCUUCCCUGUGCAACUUGUCAUACUCCCUCGCACAUAGGAGCCCACAUACCAUUUGUCGCUCUCGCCCAAUUCAAACGCUUAAGCAGCAUGUUGGCCAUUGGUUUGCCAAAACACUCGCCCACUUUCGCACGUAGACAUUCUCCAAAAUGCCUUGCUAAGGUUCCUCAUAUUGCUCGCCAGACACAUAUAAGCUGCAUGGCAAGCUACACUUGUCCCUUUGAUCGAUCCCUUUCUUAUACGAUAUGGUAUUGAGAAACUCUUAUCUACCUCUGUCUCAUUGAGGCCUGGUACUCUCCCUCAUCCGAUUCUAACAACACUCUUAUCGCUAUCGGUACCGUGCCUGCCCCGAUCCCAUUGGGAUGCUUGACGUGAUUCAGGUCAACUGGAGCCUGCUCUUAUACCACUUUGUCACGGGACGGGAGUUCUAACCUCGUGCUGUGCCUAGUCCCCCUUGGCCACGUCCCCCUUGGCCAGGUCCCCUAGGUCAGACUUUUCCCUAUUUGGCAAGUUUGCUUAGGCUUAAAUAUUAAGCAUCUUUGAGGUU